Long non-coding RNA from Mytilus trossulus (common blue mussel), 847 nucleotides. RefSeq lists it as uncharacterized. NCBI's taxonomy places the organism in Eukaryota, Metazoa, Mollusca, Bivalvia, Mytilida, Mytilidae. The record is from RefSeq and is a predicted model, not a curated record. The transcript has 3 exons.
UUUUAGGUUCUUUCUGUGGCAUGUUUUCAUGGUGUGGGAAUAAGACUUGUUGGUCUAAUACAGCUAAUAUGUAGGUUAGCACUACAGCUUGUCUGUAAAGAUUGAAGCUGGGAAAGGGCCAUUGGAGCUGAAUUUAAUGGAAACAUUAACUGGCUGCAGCAAAAAAUGAUUGUGAUGUAACAGUGAAGAAUGUUAUUUAGAAAUUUUUUGUGUGUGCUUCAGAGAAAAAAAAAUGUGUAAAGAUUCUCCAUUUUCAACUAGAUUGGAAGCUUGUAUUUGAAAAUUCAAAAUUAUUCUUACUUUUCUUGUUGUGCUUAUGGAAACUGAACUAUUUUUUUUUUAUAUGUUUCAUAGUUUAGAUCUAAUUUGUUAUUCCCCUGCCGCCUGUAACUCUUAUUUCAUUUUUAUUUUGAAAAUAAAAUGAAACGGACCAACUUCACUUGUAAACUGUCCUGGCCAAAGGCUUCCAGUCGGUUUAGAAUGGAGAAUCUAAAAAAAAAAUAGAAAAAAAAUUAUAUUGUGUUUUUUGUGUUUCCUGACUUGUUAGAUAUUUUCCAACUUUUUGUUAUUUUUAUGCUCCAUUUAUGGGCAUUAAGAUUUUCUGGUCUGCAUAGGUUUGUCUUUCCCUUUGUAUGCUCUUCCCCCUCCAGGUUAAAAUUUAUUGAUGAAGCUGAAGUCCAAUCAACUUGAAACUUAGUACACAUGUUCCCUAUGAUAUGGUCUCUGUAAUUUUAAUGCUAAUUUUUUACCCCAUUUUCAUUUUUCAUUGAACAUAGAAAAUGAUAGUUCAGAUUGAGCAUCUGUGUACAAAUGACACAUUCUUGUUUGCAGUGCUUUUAGCUAAAAA